This 253-nucleotide ribosomal RNA is filed under the name uncultured bacterium. RNAcentral's name for it is "partial 16S ribosomal RNA". It matches the Rfam family "Bacterial small subunit ribosomal RNA", at positions 524 to 776 of the family's 1533-position model. The record is from RNAcentral.
GACAGAGGGUGCAAACGUUGUUCGGAAUUACUGGGCGUAAAGCGCGUGUAGGCGGUUCGGAAAGUCGGGUGUGAAAGCCCUGGGCUUAACCCAGGAAGUGCACUCGAAACUCCCGAGCUUGAGUUCUGGAGAGGAAGGCGGAAUUCUCGGUGUAGAGGUGAAAUUCGUAGAUAUCGAGAGGAACAUCGGUGGCGAAGGCGGCCUUCUGGACCAUAACUGACACUGAGAGACGAAAGCCAGGGGAGCAAACGGG